UGUCGGGUUCUGUGCAACGGAAGAUUGUGAACCCCGUCAGGUCCGGAAGGAAGCAGCGGUAAGCAAACCCUUCUGUGUGCAUCAGGGUGCCUGCCGGGA
RNAcentral lists this signal recognition particle RNA (99 nucleotides) under Nitrospirota bacterium. RNAcentral describes it as "signal recognition particle sRNA small type". It matches the Rfam family "Bacterial small signal recognition particle RNA". Rfam says of the family: The signal recognition particle (SRP) is a universally conserved ribonucleoprotein involved in the co-translational targeting of proteins to membranes. Archaeal SRP consists of a 7S RNA and homologues of the eukaryotic SRP19 and SRP54 proteins. The record is from RNAcentral. Lineage: Bacteria; Pseudomonadati; Nitrospirota.